UGCAUCUGAGCUCUCAAGGGCUCUGGUAGUGUUAGUUAUCAGUUCCUGUACCAGUGUUGCUUCUGUGGUCACUCUUCUCACAGCAAGCACACUUGCAGCUGCGACCUUGAACCCUUGCUCUCAACCAUGAAGACCAGUAGAACAAAAAAGAUUAUCGCAAAAAUGUUCUUCAGGGAACAGGGUGACACAUCCUUAUGAGGAUCUUGGGCCUCUCUGAGACCAUCAGCUAGUCCAGGAAGUGCCAGUCAUCGUCCACGUGCCAUCUGUGUUGUCAUCUGUCUGCACCCCCACCUCCACCCCCACAACUCAGGAAGCAUUAUAAACUCAGAGCAAGACUGUAUGAUCCAAAAGCAAGUGAUCACUGCAAAGAAAACUGUCCCAGUCUAAAGAGAUGCUGUAUGAGCAAACAGCUGCAAUACACUUUCCUGCUUAGCUUUAUGGAUAUUUAUAUAUAUUAUGCUGCUUAUUCUGAUAAGAAAGUUGUAUGCUGCCAAACAGAAGAAAAUGGUUUCAUAUCUAAAAGUCUGAGUUGGUAUUUUUUUGACUUUCUGGAGCCUUAGGGAUGUCCUGUUAAUUCCUGAGUACUGCCUUGCACAAACUGCAAGGCAGCUUCCCCCAUUUUCUUGUUUAAAAAGAAACUCCACUCAGCCUGCCUUUUCUUCUUUGUGGUUCCUCACAUUUCUUUCUACCAGCCCUUGCAGAGGUGAAUUCCCUUGCAGUGAGAAUGAAGAAUUUCAA
Long non-coding RNA from Falco peregrinus (peregrine falcon), 738 nucleotides. RefSeq lists it as uncharacterized. The record is from RefSeq and is a predicted model, not a curated record. Lineage: Eukaryota; Metazoa; Chordata; Aves; Falconiformes; Falconidae. The transcript has 3 exons.